This 433-nucleotide ribosomal RNA is filed under the name uncultured bacterium. Its description in RNAcentral is "partial 16S ribosomal RNA". It matches the Rfam family "Bacterial small subunit ribosomal RNA", at positions 29 to 507 of the family's 1533-position model. The record is from RNAcentral.
AACGAACGCUGGCGGCAUGCCUAACACAUGCAAGUCGAACGAGACCUUCUGGUCUAGUGGCGCACGGGUGCGUAACGCGUGGGAACCUGCCCUUAGGUUCGGAAUAACUCCCCGAAAGGGGUGCUAAUACCGGAUAAUGUCUUCGGACCAAAGAUUUAUCGCCUUUGGAUGGGCCCGCGUUGGAUUAGCUAGUUGGUAGGGUAAAAGCCUACCAAGGCGACGAUCCAUAGCUGGUCUGAGAGGAUGAUCAGCCACACUGGGACUGAGACACGGCCCAGACUCCUACGGGAAGCAGCAGUGGGGAAUAUUGGACAAUGGGCGAAAGCCUGAUCCAGCAAUGCCGCGUGAGUGAUGAAGGCCUUAGGGUUGUAAAGCUCUUUUACCCGGGAUGAUAAUGACAGUACCGGGAGAAUAAGCGCCGGCUAACUCCGUG